GUAUGUGAAAAAUUGCCUUAAAAUUUUACCAGUAAAGCAGUGAGAACUGAACAGCAGAGUUGUCUAAGGAAGGUGCAGAGAUCUGGAAUGACUUCUAAGAGAUAUUCCUUAAAGUCAAAAAACAGAAGGUGGAUGAGAAGUUAUCUGUGGGUCCCCAAAUCUCCAUUUUGAAAGGACUGGAAUAUAAAGCAGAAGGGGGACUUGAGAGUUCUUGUCCACAGUUGCUCAACUCUGUCCAGGCUGCGCAGUAAAUUAGAGCAGGAGCAGGUCGUGCGGCGGAAGAAGGAUCUAGCAGAAGGUGCCUGACUGUGGGGCGUUGCAGAAGAUCAGACCCCUGGGAGCCCCGGCCCAGCUUAAACCUGCUGUGGCGACUGAAGACCAGGAUCAGAGCCAGGUUUGAGGAAAUGUGACGCCUCCCGGUACAGUAGGCUGAAUGACGUUUAUGUCCUAAUCCCCGAACCUACAAUCUCCUCCAACAGUUCUGGGCUGCAGCCGUGUAAAGCAAAGAGCAGGAACACAAAACAAACAUUGUCUGAAAAUUCCCUGAGUGAGGCAUUUUAAAAGGAAUAAUGAAGAUGCGGCCCUGUGUUUCGUUGGUUUGAAUCCUGGGCGCGGACAUGGCACUGCUCGUCAAACCACGCUGAGGCAGUGUCCCACAUGCCACAACUAGAAGGACCCACAACGAAGAAUAUACAACUAUGUAGCGGGGGGCUUU
This 715-nucleotide long non-coding RNA is filed under the name Equus caballus (horse). Its description in RNAcentral is "lncRNA (ENSECAG00000049069.1)". The record is from RNAcentral. Lineage: Eukaryota; Metazoa; Chordata; Mammalia; Perissodactyla; Equidae.